Molecule: long non-coding RNA, 1289 nt
Filed under: Oryctolagus cuniculus (rabbit)
Lineage: Eukaryota; Metazoa; Chordata; Mammalia; Lagomorpha; Leporidae
Description: lncRNA (ENSOCUG00000036748.1)
Source: RNAcentral
AUGAACUAUGAAGAUAAGACAGAAUCGGCCUCAAAGCAGUUUAUAAUCUACAAAACAAUGCACCAACUAGUGAUGCCCAGAACGACUUCUCCACUUGGCGUAUCACUGCCGUGUUGCCCGCUGUGCUCCGACCCUUCCUCCCCGCAGUAGAGGCCUGCUGCUGCCGCCUGCUUGCUGACACGGAACUUCCUUGCCGUCGCAGCUGCCUCAUUUUCAGUGCCAGCUGACCCACCGUCUGGACAUAGGACUUUCAGGUCGGUGUACUACAGCUUUUUCUCAAAACUGUUGACGUGUUGUUAAUAUUCACAGGAAGUAUUUUUCUCUGUAUCUAGUUCCUUAUAGAUGAAAGAAUAUUAUUAAGGCAUUUGGAAACACUGGAUUUCUAAAUAUGAGUAAUUAUCAUGUAUAAAGUACAAAAACGUUGCCUUUGAUCUACCAUUGAUUGGUACAAGGUGACAGAUCUCAUAGUGGAGGCUGAAUAGAUACAAACAUGGAGAUUGUGGUUCUUGAACUUAGGAAAAUCACCAUCCAGCUCCCUCACAGAUGUAAUGUAAACUCACAUUCCUCCAGCUCUGUAAGGAAACUAAGGUGAAGGAGGAAACCAAGGGUCAGAAAGAUGGUGAUGAGUCAUGGACCUAGUGCCCAAGAGUGCACUUACAGUUUCUAAUAAUAUAUAUGUAUAUUUAAUUUGAGCAGUGAGCCACAUUAACUAUAAAAGUUUGCAUACAUUAUCUUACUUAGGUUUCCUGGAAUUCCAUUCAUAGUUCAGAAACAUUUGAUCAGUGUAACCCUGACAAGUUCAUUUACCCUUGUAUCUGCCAAGGUUCUUACAGAAUCUACUAUAGGUAAUUGAGUAGAAAGGAAUUUGUUACAGGUAAGUCCGUAUUGUGACUGGAUAUUUUAGUGUCAAAGUGGGAGUACACAUACUUAUGUUGAUGCCUCAUGAGGUUUCUGAACCUGUAUAUUCUGUCUUAAUUGCUGAUUCAGGGUACUAAUUGCUGAUUCAAGGUACAUCUUAUUUUCUGAAAGACAAUUCUAAAAUACCCCAGGUAUGUUUCUCAGCAGAUGGUAUAACUAUCUUCGAAGUUCCUUCCUGUGGUUGGUUUAUAGUUUUACGUGGUUUCUAAGUGGUGAGGAUCAUGACAAGCCAGGGAAUCCUGUGGACAUAAACCCUGUUGCCUUAUUUCUAUUGUAAGAAUAUUGCAUUCUUGAGCAGAACAAGUAUUGGGCAGGAAAACACCUUGCUGAAUACGAUAUCCUAUGAGAAAUAAAUAGUUGCCAUUAACACA